Molecule: ribosomal RNA, 253 nt
Filed under: uncultured bacterium
Lineage: Bacteria
Description: partial 16S ribosomal RNA
Rfam family: Bacterial small subunit ribosomal RNA
Source: RNAcentral
GACAGAGGGGGCAAGCGUUAUUCGGAAUUAUUGGGCGUAAAGGGCGCGUAGGCGGUUUCUUAAGUCAGAUGUGUAAUCCCCGAGCUUAACUUGGGCACUGCAUCUGAGACUGGGAGGCUAGAGUACUGGAGAGGGUGGUGGAAUUCCUCGUGUAGCGGUGAAAUGCGUAGAGAUGAGGAGGAACACCAGUGGCGAAGGCGGCCACCUGGACAGUAACUGACGCUGAGGCGCGAAAGUGUGGGUAGCAAACACG